RNAcentral lists this transfer RNA (76 nucleotides) under Clostridiaceae bacterium. Its description in RNAcentral is "tRNA-Val". It matches the Rfam family "tRNA". From Rfam's summary of the family: Transfer RNA (tRNA) molecules are approximately 80 nucleotides in length. The record is from RNAcentral. Lineage: Bacteria; Bacillati; Bacillota; Clostridia; Eubacteriales; Clostridiaceae.
GGGAGCAUAGCUCAGCUGGGAGAGCAUCUGCCUUACAAGCAGAGGGUCAUAGGUUCGAGCCCUGUUGCUCCCACCA